GUGACUUCCUCUUUGUCACCUCUUUUAGAUUACAAACUCUGGGGAAACUAGCCGACAUAUCAUAAGAACAUUCAAGUAGCCUUACAGUGAAGUCCACAUCAAGCGGAACUGAGGGCUCCUCUCAACAGCCAUGUGGCUGAACCAUCUUGGAAGCAGGUUCUCAGCCCCAGUGAAGCUUAUGAUGACUGCAGCCUCUGCCAAUAUUUUGACUGCAACUUAUGGCUAUUCCUGAGCUAGAACAACUAGCUAAGCCGCUCCUGAAUUUCCAAUCCAUAUAAACUGCUAGAAUACAACUCAAUAUGAAACUGCUUCUGCC
This 316-nucleotide long non-coding RNA is filed under the name Homo sapiens (human). RNAcentral's name for it is "HSALNT0308206". Lineage: Eukaryota; Metazoa; Chordata; Mammalia; Primates; Hominidae. The record is from RNAcentral.